GAACUGCGAUAAGUAAUGUGAAUUGUAGAAUUCAGUGAAUCAUCGAGUCUUUGAACGCACAUUGCGCCCCCUGGCAUUCCGGGGGGCAUGCCUGUCCGAGCGUCAUUGCUGCCCUUCAAGCCCGGCUUGUGUGUUGGGUCGUCGUCCCCCCCGGGGGACGGGCCCGAAAGGCAGCGGCGGCACCGCGUCCGGUCCUCGAGCGUAUGGGGCUUUGUCACCCGCUCGAUAAGGACCGGCCGGGCGCCAGCCGGCGUCUCCAACCUUUUUUUCUCAGGUUGACCUCGGAUCAGGUAGGGAUACCCGCUGAACUUAAGC
This 315-nucleotide unclassified non-coding RNA is filed under the name plant metagenome. RNAcentral describes it as "partial contains 5.8S ribosomal RNA, internal transcribed spacer 2, and large subunit ribosomal RNA". The stretch from base 1 to 105 matches the Rfam family "5.8S ribosomal RNA", at positions 50 to 154 of the family's 154-position model. The record is from RNAcentral.